CGGCGACCUCGAGGACGGGCUCGCCCGCGUCGCGUGGCCGGCGACGGUCGACGGCGCCGCGCUCGUCGUCGAGCGGAUCGUGCUGCCGCCGGCCGCCGA
Molecule: transfer RNA, 99 nt
Filed under: Mycobacteroides abscessus
Lineage: Bacteria; Bacillati; Actinomycetota; Actinomycetes; Mycobacteriales; Mycobacteriaceae
Also listed under: 1 other name
Description: tRNA-Ala(ggc)
Source: RNAcentral